Non-coding RNA from Russula brevipes, 86 nucleotides. Lineage: Eukaryota; Fungi; Basidiomycota; Agaricomycetes; Russulales; Russulaceae. The record is from the annotation of a GenBank genome assembly.
GGCUAGGUAGCUCAAUAGGUAGAGCACCUGGUAUAUAUUCAGGAGGCCUGGCUGCCUGCCAGUGGGUUCAAACCCCAGUCUGGUCA